GAUGAACGCUGGCGGCGCGCCUAACACAUGCAAGUCGAACGAUUAAAGCACCUUCGGGUGUGUAUAAAGUGGCGAACGGCUGAGUAACACGUGGGCAACCUGCCCCUUUCAUUGGGAUAGCCACGGGAAACCGUGGAUAAUACCGAAUACUUCGAGACUUCCGCAUGGAAGACUCGAGAAGGCUCCGGCGGAGAGGGAUGGGCCCGCGGCCUGUUAGCUUGUUGGUGGGGUAACGGCCUACCAAGGCAAUGAUGGGUAGCUGGGUUGAGAGACCGACCAGCCAGAUUGGGACUGAGACACGGCCCAGACGCCUACGGGAGGCAGCAGUGGGGAAUCUUGCACAAUGGGCGAAAGCCUGAUGCAGCGACGCCGCGUGCGGGAUGAAGGCCUUCGGGUUGUAAACCGCUUUCAGCAGGGACGAGGCGAAAGUGACGGUACCUGCAGAAGAAGCCCCGGCUAACUACGUG
This 467-nucleotide ribosomal RNA is filed under the name uncultured bacterium. RNAcentral describes it as "partial 16S ribosomal RNA". It matches the Rfam family "Bacterial small subunit ribosomal RNA", at positions 28 to 507 of the family's 1533-position model. The record is from RNAcentral.